GGAGAGGUGGCUGAGUUUGGCUGAAGGCGCUCGAUUGGAAAUCGAGUAGGCGGGCUAAAACCUGUCUCGAGGGUUCGAAUCCCUCCCUCUCCGCCA
RNAcentral lists this transfer RNA (96 nucleotides) under Syntrophomonas wolfei subsp. wolfei str. Goettingen G311. RNAcentral's name for it is "tRNA-Ser (GGA) (tRNA-Ser-GGA-1-1)". It matches the Rfam family "tRNA". Rfam says of the family: Transfer RNA (tRNA) molecules are approximately 80 nucleotides in length. The record is from RNAcentral. Lineage: Bacteria; Bacillati; Bacillota; Clostridia; Eubacteriales; Syntrophomonadaceae.